RNAcentral lists this ribosomal RNA (301 nucleotides) under uncultured bacterium. Its description in RNAcentral is "partial 16S ribosomal RNA". It matches the Rfam family "Bacterial small subunit ribosomal RNA", at positions 509 to 807 of the family's 1533-position model. The record is from RNAcentral.
CAGUCGCCGCGGGAAUACGUAGGGUGCAAGCGUUGUCCGGAAUUAUUGGGCGUAAAGAGCUCGUAGGCGGUUUGUCGCGUCUGCUGUGAAAUCCCGAGGCUCAACCUCGGGCUUGCAGUGGGUACGGGCAGACUAGAGUGCGGUAGGGGAGAUUGGAAUUCCUGGUGUAGCGGUGGAAUGCGCAGAUAUCAGGAGGAACACCGAUGGCGAAGGCAGAUCUCUGGGCCGUAACUGACGCUGAGGAGCGAAAGCGUGGGGAGCGAACAGGAUUAGAUACCCGGGUAGUCCCUGUCUCUUAUAC